UACGUAGGGUCCGAGCGUUGUCCGGAGUUACUGGGCGUAAAGCGCGCGCAGGCGGCGGUGUUGGCCCGGCGUGAAAGCCCCCGGCUCAACCGGGGAGGGUCGUCGGGGACCGCACCGCUUGAGGGCGGUAGGGGCUGGUGGAAUGCCUGGUGUAGUGGUGAAAUGCGUAGAGAUCAGGCGGAACACCAGUGGCGAAGGCGGCUUCCUGGCCUGUUCUUGACGCUGAGGCGCGAAAGCUAGGGGAGCAAACGGG
This 253-nucleotide ribosomal RNA is filed under the name uncultured bacterium. Its description in RNAcentral is "partial 16S ribosomal RNA". It matches the Rfam family "Bacterial small subunit ribosomal RNA", at positions 524 to 776 of the family's 1533-position model. The record is from RNAcentral.